GUAAAAGUCGUAACAAGGUCUCCGUUGGUGAACCAGCGGAGGGAUCAUUACCGAGUUUUUACGCUCCAAACCCCAUGUGAACCUAUACCUACGCCGUUGCUUCGGCGGGCUUUCAAGCCCCGGGCAGCCGCCUCCCCCCCGACGCCCUCGCGCCUGGGAGGGGGAGGGCACCCGGAACCAGGCGCCCGCCGGAGGAUACAACCAAAAAAACUCUUGUGUUUUCCAAUGCAUGUCUGAGUGGAUUUUUGCAAAUCAAAAUGAAUCAAAACUUUCAACAACGGAUCUCUUGGUUCUGGCAUCGAUGAAGAACGCAGCGAAAUGCGAUAAGUAAUGUGAAUUGCAGAAUUCAGUGAAUCAUCGAAUCUUUGAACGCACAUUGCGCCCGCCAGUAUUCUGGCGGGCAUGCCUGUUCGAGCGUCAUUUCAACCCUCAAGCUCUGUCUUGCGCUUGGUGUUGGGGAUCGGCCCUGCCCGCCAGCCCGGGCGGGCCGCCCCCGAAAUGAAUCGGCGGUCUCGUCGCAGCCUCCUCUGCGUAGUAAUUCAGUUAUCCUCGCACUUGGAGCGCGGCGCGGCCACUGCCCGUAAAACGCCCAACUUCUCAAGAGUUGACCUCGAAUCAGGUAGGAAUACCCGCUGAACUUAAGCAUAUCAAUAAGCGGAGGAAAAGAAACCAACAGGGAUUGCCCCAGUAACG
This 693-nucleotide ribosomal RNA is filed under the name uncultured fungus. RNAcentral describes it as "eukaryotic LSU rRNA". The stretch from base 267 to 420 matches the Rfam family "5.8S ribosomal RNA". The record is from RNAcentral. Lineage: Eukaryota; Fungi.